AUGAUGGAGAGUUCGAUCCUGGCUCAGAACGAACGAUGGCGGCGCGUUUUAAGCAUGCAAGUCGAGCGGCAGCAGCAAUGCGAGAGCGGCGGACGGGUGAGUAACACGUGGGUAAUAUGCCUUUCAGUCGGGGAUAGCCGGUGGAAACACAGGAUAAUACCGGAUGCGAUGGCCACCACACAAGUGGAGGUCAGGAAAGGAGCCAAGGCUCCGCCGGAGGAUGAGCCCGCGUCCCAUUAGCUUGAUGGUGAGGUAAAGGCCCACCAUGGCGAUGAUGGGUAGCCGGCCUGAGAGGGUGAACGGCCACAUUGGAACUGAGACACGGUCCAGACUCCUACGGGAGGCAGCAGCUAAGAAUCUUCCACAAUGGACGAAAGUCUGAUGGAGCGACGCCGCGUGGGCGAUGAAGGCCGUGAGGUUGUAAAGCCCUUUUCUUGAGGGGGAAUAAGGCAGGCAGGGAAUGGCCUGGCGAUGACGUGAAUCAAGGAAUAAGCCCCGGCUAACUACGUGCCAGCAGCCGCGG
This 523-nucleotide ribosomal RNA is filed under the name Spirochaetales bacterium. RNAcentral's name for it is "bacterial SSU rRNA". It matches the Rfam family "Bacterial small subunit ribosomal RNA", at positions 1 to 520 of the family's 1533-position model. Lineage: Bacteria; Pseudomonadati; Spirochaetota; Spirochaetia; Spirochaetales. The record is from RNAcentral.